AACGAACGCUGGCGGCAUGCCUAACACAUGCAAGUCGAACGAGACCUUCGGGUCUAGUGGCGCACGGGUGCGUAACGCGUGGGAACCUGCCCUUGGGUUCGGAAUAACUCCCCGAAAGGGGUGCUAAUACCGGAUGAUGUCUUAGGACCAAAGAUUUAUCGCCUAUGGAUGGGCCCGCGUUGGAUUAGCUAGUUGGUAGGGUAAAAGCCUACCAAGGCGACGAUCCAUAGCUGGUCUGAGAGGAUGAUCAGCCACACUGGGACUGAGACACGGCCCAGACUCCUACGGGAGGCAGCAGUGGGGAAUAUUGGACAAUGGGCGAAAGCCUGAUCCAGCAAUGCCGCGUGAGUGAUGAAGGCCUUAGGGUUGUAAAGCUCUUUUACCCGGGAUGAUAAUGACAGUACCGGGAGAAUAAGCUCCGGCUAACUCCGUG
Molecule: ribosomal RNA, 433 nt
Filed under: uncultured bacterium
Lineage: Bacteria
Description: partial 16S ribosomal RNA
Rfam family: Bacterial small subunit ribosomal RNA
Source: RNAcentral